CCUAACUCUUAUCCUCUCCGAAUCUACUCUUUUGCAAGUUCUAAACCCUAGAAUAUCUUCUCUUAUAUAAGCGUUUGAGAUGGAGAGAGUAACCCAUCAAAAAGUCUUAAUUUCCUUCCUCAAAGACGUCAAUAGCACAUUCAGAGAGUUUGAGAGCGUAAGAAUUGAAGAAUGAAGACUGCUGCUGAAGUUUGAAGUCUUUUAUUUUUAUUUUGGUUUUGGUUCGUAUUUUUAUUUUGGUUUUGGUUCGUAUUUUUAUUUUGGUUUUGGUGUUCUCUUUGAGCUUUAGUUCGUUUUCAGUUGAAGUGUGUUCUGCUUGGUUUGUUAUGAACAAGUUCAUUUUAUUUUGAAGUUUAAUAAAGGCUCUCACGUUUGGAGUA
Long non-coding RNA from Raphanus sativus (radish), 380 nucleotides. RefSeq lists it as uncharacterized. The record is from RefSeq and is a predicted model, not a curated record. NCBI's taxonomy places the organism in Eukaryota, Viridiplantae, Streptophyta, Magnoliopsida, Brassicales, Brassicaceae. The transcript has 2 exons.